UGCCAAUGCUGUGCUUAUGAGUUUAGCAAU
Molecule: non-coding RNA, 30 nt
Filed under: Rattus norvegicus (Norway rat)
Lineage: Eukaryota; Metazoa; Chordata; Mammalia; Rodentia; Muridae
Source: RNAcentral